AGCUCAGUUGGAUAGAGCGUCUGAUUGCGGUUCAGAAGGUCGCACGUUCGAAUCGUGCC
Molecule: transfer RNA, 59 nt
Filed under: Nitrospinaceae bacterium
Lineage: Bacteria; Pseudomonadati; Nitrospinota; Nitrospinia; Nitrospinales; Nitrospinaceae
Description: tRNA-Arg
Rfam family: tRNA
About the family: Transfer RNA (tRNA) molecules are approximately 80 nucleotides in length.
Source: RNAcentral